GCAAGGAGAAGGAGGAGGUGCUGCUUAGCUGGGAGCCGAAGGAGGAGCUGCUGGGUGAUGAAGGGGCUAUGUAUUGCGAUGGGGAAGCUUGGAGGAGAAUCAGAUUUAGGGAAGGACAUCAAGAAUCCCGCCUGGGAUAUAUUAAAGAUAGAACACAUACAAACAUCAAAAAAUCACAACGCCAGUCUGAGUGUGAGUCCACGGGACUCCCGGAGAGGCCAGGGCUGCAGGCUGCCACCCAGGGCCUGCCUCUCGGAAGCCGGGACGUGUGUGGACUGUGCCCUCCCUGGAGGUUACACCGAGGGCUGGCACAGCACACUGGCUCGGGGCCUGCCGCCUGCUCACAGCUCUCCUCCCAGCGUUUAUUGGGACUCCUGCCACGUCCGAGGUUCUCCCUUCACAAAGGCAAGAAGGGCCAGGGGAAGGGAAUGUUCUUUCUGAACACCAGACAUGACACAUGGCCUCAAACAGGCAAGAGCUCAAGUCGGAUAGCUGCGGUGGCCGCAGGUAGGCCUCCCAACCGUGAGGAGUCCAAAACUGACUCAGAAAAGCACCCAGGCCUGUGACUAAUACGGUCGUGCCUCGGAGCACCCAGAGGGCAAAGCAGGCCCAGCAUCCUCCCUGGAGCCAAAUGAAGACAUCAGGGGUCCAUAACUAGCACCUUCUUCCUCACUCCAUGGGCCUUGGGGCAUCAGCCAGAGUCCACCUCCGGGUGCUUCUAGGCCGCACAGCUUGGCGCAUCUCUCUAUUUUCUUCCAUCGAGGUCUCUCCCCUCUGGCUUCUUGCCUAGCCAGUUGCCCACAGACUGGAAAACAAAGGCUCACUGCCUUCCCCAGAGACCUGGGCUUAAGGGAUGGGCCUUGAGCAGGCUGGGCGGAUGCUCUGUUGAUUUUUUUUCCAAGUGCAGAGAAUGUGACAGCCAAUUCCUGUUGGAAAUGGCUGUUGUUUUCUUUGGAGCCCAAAGCACUUUUCCUUUCUCGUGACUGUUCCAGUUCAGGUCGUGUUUAGGAUGGAGAUGAUUCUUUAACCUAAUUGCAUGCCUUCUUGAUCUGCGCCUCUUAAACUUUUGGGGCACAGAUCCUACUGCAAGCCUGAUAAAAACCAUAGACCCUCUCCCUAAAACACACACGUGCACACGCGCACGCACGCACCUGUCCCCAAUUUAACAUUUAGUAUCAAUCCUAGCAGAUUAAGACCCCUUGGAUGAAGGAGGGUGAGUCCUUCCUGCGCUCCCCCACCUCCCCUCCAGUCCCGCUUUCUUUUCAGUCUGGAUCUUAAAAUUCCCUUUCUUUAGCAUUCUCAGGGGCCAGUGUUCUUGCCUGGCUUCUGCUUGAAUUAAUCCCAUGUGUCCAGCCACGGAGGAGGCUGUGCCCAGUUUUUCAGGCAGCUGAAUAUUCCAGAGGGAUUUGUCAAACUUCUGUCUCAUCCGUGCCUAGUUAUUACGGAGGGGCCAGGCUGCAAGAGUCUCUGCAGGUUCUGGACGAGGUGGCACAGCUUUGGAUGAGACUAGGAAGACAGGCGUUGUCUGGUUUUGUUAAAUUCCAGAAGCAAGUCACUUCGCCAAAAUUGCCAGAAAUAAAAGGACUGUCUAGACACUUACAUAUGAGGGGCUCUCCUCUGAAGAGAGACCAUCCUGAAGAUCAUUGAUUUAUGCUUCGAUGAACUGGCCUCCUGGAGAGAAGCAUGUUUUGAGCCGCAAGAGCCGAAGUGGAGGCCACGCCGAUGAGGGGUCCAGGGGGUGGGGCGAUGGUUGCUCGCACCUCUUGGGGGCGCUGCAGUCGGAGCGAGGAGGACUGUUUUCCAGGAAAAACAAAGAUACAAAUCCUCCUUAAGAGAAAGUUGCUUGGCUGUUCUUGUCUCUGCAGAAUGUUAAUCUCCUUGGCAGGCCAACGAAAGGAACGAAAAGGAGAGCUGAUAUGUAUUAAGUGCCAACUGCAUACCUCGAUCUCAGGUGAUACAUUCACAUAAGAAAUUUUCCCAUUCUUGUCCUCAUCUGCAGAGACACCCACUCCCCAUGCUAUAGCACGAGAGUCAGGAAGCUCCAGUGCAGGUUGUUAAAUCCACCCACUGGAGGGAGUGAAACACGGUGCUGUCACGAUCCUCCAGACUUUUUUGACCUCUUGCCUGGGAUCUGUCACUUUGGAUCCUCUCUGCAGG
Mirounga angustirostris (Northern elephant seal) is the source of this 2157-nucleotide long non-coding RNA. RefSeq lists it as uncharacterized. The transcript is spliced from 5 exons. Lineage: Eukaryota; Metazoa; Chordata; Mammalia; Carnivora; Phocidae. The record is from RefSeq and is a predicted model, not a curated record.